Molecule: long non-coding RNA, 7784 nt
Organism: Pseudopipra pipra
Lineage: Eukaryota; Metazoa; Chordata; Aves; Passeriformes; Pipridae
Exons: 3
Source: RefSeq, a predicted model, not a curated record
GGUCUGCCUCCCCUCCCCCCAGCCCGCGGGGGUGCGGCACGCGCGGUGUUCGUGUGCCAGCAGUGACGCGGGAUCACGGGAUCAGUUAGGUUGGAAGAGAUCUCGGAGAUCAGCGAGUCCAACCUGUGACCCAGCACCACCGUGUCAACUAGACCAUGGCACUAAGUGCCACGUUCAGUCUUUCCUUACACAGCUCCAGGGACAGUGACUUUACCACCUCCCUGGGCAGUCCAUUCCAGUGUGUAAUCACGCUUUCUGUGAAGAAAUUCCUCCUGAUGUCCUAACCUAAACUUCUGCUGCCACAACCUGAGGCCAUUUCUUCUCAUUCUGUCACUUGCUACUUGAGAGAAGAGCCCGACCCCCACCUGGCUACACCUUCCUUUCAGGGAGUUGUAGAGAGGGAUAAAGUCACCCCUGAGCCUCCUUUUCUCCGCGCUAAACAACCUCAGCUCCCUCAGCCACUCCUCACGAGACUUGUGCUGCAGACCCUUCCCCAGCUCUGUUGCCCUUCUGUGGACGUGCUCCAGUACCUCGAUGUUCUUACUGGCCCAGAACUGAACAUAGUACUCGAGGUGUGGCCUCACCAGUGCCUGGUGAUCCAGAUGGCCAGACUAUUUCUGGUACAAGCCAGGAUGCCAUUGGCCUUUCUGGCCACCUGGGCACAGUGCUGGCUCAUGUUCAUCCAUCAAUGUCAUCAGGCAUUGUCCUAGCCCUCUCCUCCUCUGCCCCAGUGCUUGAGGUUUCCACAGAGAGCUGCCAGAAGAAAGCCAAGGGGACAAGCCAGGAUUUUUAAUCUGCUGAUUACUGGGAUUUACACACAGAUGCAUUUGCAGUGCUUCCCCUCGCCUUCUUGAUCGGAACGGUUUCCAUGGUUUGUCAUUUUAGCGCACAGCAGAACAGCCUGGGGCACAUUUUGAUGUUUUAUGUUACCUGGUUUUAUCACGAAGGAAGAUCAAAAGACACACAAGCACCAUAAAAAAAGCUAGGCAAAGAUAGGAGUGCAGAGAACCUGGCAAAAGACUGCCAGAUGAGUGACCCUGGGGAGGCUGAGCUGGCUUCUGGCUGAGUCUGAGAUUCCAAAAUCAAACUGAGCAAGUUACGCGCACUGGCCACUUAGGAAAGGCAGAUGCAUCACAACUGGAGUUUUAUUUCUGUACUUCUUGUUCAUGUGUAACUGGAAGACGCAUAAUAGCAGGAAUGCUGUUCCCUGAGAUCCCUACUGGAGGAGAUGAUUACUUACGGCAGAGCGUAUGUGAGGAAAGAUGUUGGCUUCCUCUUCAGUAGUACUGUCCCCAAUUUGUUACACAGCAUGACAAAUAGAACAACACUUCCAUGAUGUUUAUAUGUUUUAUAACACAUGUUAGCAGUAGAAUCAAGACCAAGUGCCAAGAUAGUUAAUUAAUUCCACUUUCCUGAAUUAACCAUAAGGUUUGAGUUAUGUAUGGCAAUUAUCUCCUUUAAACUGUUAAGCACGCAGAAAGUGGUUAUUGCCCACUGUCUUUCUACCUCCGCCAUGUCAGGGACAGUGAAUCUUGCUCUGUGUGUGCUCGUGUGGUGACAGAGUAGUGCCACACACCUUCCUGCUGCUGUUAGAGCCAUGACAAGCUGCUCUGGCAGCCCUGCGGUGCUGGGCUGUGCUCCUGCGUGAAGCUGCCAGCAACUCACUGCCUGAGGAGUUCCCAUUCCAGGAGGUGAGGCAGAAAAGGGUAAGGCACUGGUGUAUCAUCAUCAUGGCUGCAAUAUGGAGGAGGAGAAAAGAUACAGAGAAGUGGUGACAGGUCCAUGGUUGCCCUGAGAAGCUGGAGUCACUGUAAGGAACUGAAUUCCCCAGGGUGGAUUAUGAAGUUGCUCUACAUGAAGUUGCUCUAUACAGAAAGCUUUGAGGAUAAUUAGAGAAGAACGACAGAAACAUCUUUGUAACAGUCUGAACAAUGUAAAUACAAGAUGGUAGAGCACAGGUAGCGAGUACAGAUUGGUAGGAAGAAGAGUUCGUGCUGUCUGUCAGUUAUUGAUGCCCUCUCCCUUCUCAGAACAAGUGUUACCAUUUUGUUCAGCAUCCUUAAGACCUGUAAAGAAAUAAUGAACAAAGGCAGGCUGGAAGGCCCUUCUGACAUCCUAACUGUCUUUUCCAUCUUGUGAAAAGAGUGAUCUUAAAAUGGGGACUAUCUUGCAGAGAUGGAGUCAGCCAUUGGCUAAAAGUGGAACUUACUCCACAAAUCUGCUCCCUGUGCUGCAAUCGGGAACAUUUACAUGUCAGUUUUCUGACAAAAGUACAUUUUUUUUUUGCUCUGUGUAACCUAAGACAGAGGCAGAAAUUGCAGUUGCUCUAAGAAGAAUCAGGUAAUUUUGGGUCACAUAAGCUGCAUCUCCCUUACUUGGUGGAGCACAAGCCAGAAAGCUGCCUGAAACUAAGUGCACUCAUCUGUGUGUCUGCAGUUCUGGUCCUAAAGUACAGUUCAUGAGCCUAAAGUGUCUUGCUGAAGACACCAGCCUUUUUAGAAGGCUCCUACACUGACUUGUCUGCAUUGUACUGACCAUGUAAUUUUGCUGCAUAGUAAUAAGAGCAUAUAAUAAUAACAUGAGUUAACAUGGCCUAUGGGUUGGCAUAUGUUUGAAUGUGGACUAAAGAAUAGUAUGGCUCUAAAUCUCUGGUUGUUUGAAAUUCCUGCAUUUUGGGUGUUAGUAUUGAAAUUAUUUGGACAUGAAACAAAUUUGAGCUAAGCAUGUGCUAGGACGCAAGCUUGAAAUACACUCUAAAAGUAACCAUGGUGGUGUCCACACCCAUGCAGACUAUAGUGCAAAUCCCAUUACUGAAGCUGCAUAGGUGCACACUGAUGUGACUUUCUGCUUUUGUUUAGUUAUGGUGCAAAUGCACCAAGUAAAGCAUGCACUUACCCAACAAAAAUACAAACCUUCUAAGGUGCUUCUACAAAAAUGUUUUAUUUUUGUGGUCCUACUGUCAGCAGAAUAGUAGAGGCAAAAGGAUUGUGCUAUUAAGGAGUUACACUGACUAAAGAAAAAAAAAAGCUAAUCAUAAAAAGUAAAGAAGAAUAUUGGAUUUGAGAAUUUAGGCUCAGUAUUUUGUAUAGAAAACCUGAUAUUAAAGCUGCAAAGAAUCCUCAUCUGUAUUUCAGGAAUGUAAUCCUGGUUACUUAUAUACAAAAUGCUUGCCUGUCUUGAUUAUUUAGGAUAUAUUUCUUAAUUUCUUUUAGAACAGAACAACACCAAAUUGCUAUAUUCUUACUUCAAGGCAAAACUCACAUGUUUAGCCUAAAUGAAACCUAAAUGAAACUAACUUGACUUGAUUUAUCUUUUUGUUAUUUUCUAUGGGACAUAUUGUGUUAUUAAUUUAGGCAGGACACUCCUCAUUGUUUUCACUGGAGAGUCCUGCUUAAAACAUGAACCCACAUUACACUGUCCUAAUGAUGAACUUGGAAUAAGUAUUCGGAUCUGAAGGGAGAGACAAUCUGAUUUUAUAAAUCUAUUAAUUUUUAUGGAGCUUGACUUAAAAAAAAAACAAACAACAUGGAAAUAAAGUUCAGUUUGAAUUCUGACACUCAGAAUUCAUUUUUCCAAAUGAAGCUCUCUUUCCUGAGAAGUGAGCUUCAUUUUGGAAAAAAAUAAAAAGAAAAAAAGCAAGGAAAAAAACCCCCUUGAAUUGCAUCCUCCCACGAGGACAUUUAAUUUAAUAAAGCAGCCUCCUCGGGAUUGCUCCACUGUUGCUUAGGCGCCUCAGGGGGAGGAUUCUUCCUCAUGAGGGGGAGGACCUUGGCCAAGCAUGAGGGAGACACUAAGGCUGGGUGUUAGGGAGUGGAUUUGUCCCUGAGGGCAACAUUCCCCUUUCCAAACAGCUGUAUGGAUUUCUAAUGCAAAUUCUGUCUUAAUUAUGUGUGUGAGAGCAUUCAUUUUUAGGUAGGUCAACCGUUUCACACUCCUCUCUGAAUUCCCCUGGCUAGUUUGCUUGGUCUGGCAGUUUGCAGAAGUGCCCACCCUAUGUCCUGGUGUAUACCUGCCACCCCCCUCCAUCCUCGCCCCCAGGAUGUAGGAUAAUAACUUGUAAAUGACUUGUUGGCAAGUUUUACAAAGGUAAUCUGAGUUUUGGCUUUAGUGUGCCAGUGUUGGUAAUCCCAGGAAGAACAAGUUAGCCCUUCUGCCUUUCAAAGUGGAGCCAGUGGAGUCCCUUGCCCUGUCUGUAGCCAGGGUCUGGAGUGGUUUAGUUGUCUGCUACCCCAGCACCAGCCACCCACCAGCUCCCAGGGCCAGAGCUGCUCCUCUUUGUCACACUGUGUUGGCAAUUUCGUGUUCCAACAUCAGUCUCCAAAAUAGAAGCAAAAGACAAAAUCCUCUCUAUGCCCCUAAAGAAGUGAAAAGGUACUUUGUCAGCCUCAACAUGAGCAAGACUGAAAUGAAGCCUCCCCUUGCACUCCCCGCUUGCCCACUGCCUUUACAAUAGUGCUAAAGUCUUUCAAAAUGUGAAACAGAUGCCUGCUUUUGGGAAGCUCAGUGUGUACCUGUUGCACACUGCCUUCAACCCAGGAAUGGAUGCUGUCCAGGAAAUGGCAAAGCAGGAUGUAGAGUUUUACAUACACAAAUAAUACACUCUUCUAUCCAGAAGCAAUAUUCUAGGGAUAUAAAAUGAGUUGUUAUUUGUUACUAAAGCAUUUCAGGCCAAACAAACUAAGAAUGGGGCCAGGAAUGAGCAGAUUUGCAACAAAUUUGCAUGGAAGAAAACUCUUUAUUAGUUGGUCAGCAUUCUCGUGCAGCAUCUUGAAGGAUGAUUAGAUACUUUCCUAGCUUUGGGAAAUAUUGUGAAGGACUAGUCCUUUAUUGUUGCUUUUUUUGAUUUUUUUUUUAGGUGGUGGAGUGGAGGGGAGUUGGAAGAACAUAUGGAUGUGUGAUUUUUUUUGUUUAAUCUUUGUUCUUUUGCCUCCCAUGGCAGUCUCUCUGGUUUGUCUUACCUAUUUGAUUGAGUUUUCAAGAGGAAGCCAAGAAGCUGUGAAGGAAAGGACACUGAAACUCUCUUACAUCCAGCAGCAGGAAUGCAUCUGGCAGCACAUUCAUGCGUUUAAGCCAAAUUUUCUCUGAUUAAAUGUUUUUGGCAAAAAAUCAGAAUUGAUAAAUACAUUGCAUAUUGAGCUCCUUUCCAAAAGUAAAAUGAGAAAGGAGGGGAAAUACUAUCCAGUUCAGAAAAACUCGAUGGUACUGUGUUUUGAUAUCUAGUUAUGUAUAUGUAGCUUAAAACGUGAAAAGUGGUGGUUGCCAGUGAUCACAUAAUCAGACUUUUCAAGAAAAAGUCGGCAAUAACGCCAGAUGGCGCUUAAAGCCCAGAAUAACCCUAAAAACGCCUUAACCGCAGGGCUUCCAGUGCCACCUAGUGCCGCCACCCGCCCUCCUGCUUCGGGCAAGUAACAUCUCAGGCAAGGAGAGCCGCCAGAAUAGCUAACUUCUGGAGGAGCAAGUUCUCUAUGUUCAUCGUGCAGCAUAUGCAAUGGUUUGAGAUGGAGAGUGUGUCUGGAGGCAGUACUACCAUCUUUUAAUAUUCUGACUCUAUUCCUGCUCUCCUCCUAAAGCAUCCCACCCUCAUGGACAGUGUACUGGUUUAGGUGCACUUUUUGCUCUUCUCAUGGUAUUUUUGACAGCCUGAAAUUUGCUGUCAAAAAUUAUCAGCGCUAUCAGAAACCAAAACGUGUAAGUAAAAAGAGGCAGACUGUGAGAAAGUAAUUAUGUCGUCUUCAGUAUCCCUUUCACAGUGAUACUUUGUUCACUUACACGCCUCCAACAGAGGUUUUGCAAACAUUAAUGAAUUAUUAUUAUUAUUAUUAUAGCUAUUGCCAUUAUACUUUGUUUACUUCCCUUUAUCCCGUAACAGUGAAGCAAACAGAAGGGAAUUAUUGUAGUCAGUAAUUUUCAAGGAUUCAUUUUAAGCAACAAAUCCUUGGUUCCUUCUACUUUGCUGCUGAGCUUGCAAAUACUUAGUGGCAAUCUCUGUUGUUCAUCACAGGGAAAAAUUUUAAAGCAAAUGAACAUCAAAGAAGUAGUGAGAGGAGAAGGAUUGUCAGUUUCCACAUUAGACUAUCCUAUGUAAAAAAAAAAAAAAAAAAAAAAGAGUUGUUUUAUCUCUGAAUGAAUGGGAUGGGACUUACUCAUCUCUCCACAUCUGCCUGCUUUACACAGUCCUUCAGCCUGCCUGAGCAUGCAUGUUUUCUGAGUGGGAUAUGUCCUGUCCUGUUAUGUCAGCUCCUUUUCUCCCGAAAAAAAAAUAAAAGCCAGCAACAAUGUUCUUUUCUUGCAGAUUUAUGAUUUUCUGAGCAAUGAUUUUCUACAUUUGGCUGCUUCAUUGCUCACUGAACACUUGCCAUUGCUAACAGAAUGAAAAUCUUCCUAGUAGUUGAAACACGUUAAUUGCAAUUAAUGAAUACAACAAAUGCUUACAGGCAUUGCCUAUUAAGUCACUCUUUUGCAUAGCAACCUGUUACCUUAUAGUGUUGUUCCCUCAUCUGUGCCAGUUCUUUAUUCCUCCCAUGGAUCACAAUCGUUUACCCACAAACAAUAGGCAAAUAUGGGUGUUGUUAUGUUUUUGGGCAUCUUUCCCCCCUUCAUCUAAGUGUUUGUGGUGUGCUUUGUCUGUAAAGGUCACCUGAGCCACCUAGAGGGCUGAGGGUAAGGAGCCUUCCCUGGGAGAAGGUCAGUGAAGGAGUGAGAAAGAGCCCCCCAGGGCCUCACUGGUUCUCCCUGGGAGACACAAAAGGGACACACGGAGAACUGACAGCAGUCUGAGUUUUGAGUGUAUAACAAAAUGAGGAAGAAAACUUCUAAUUAGCUCAUCUAGAGAAAGCAUGGGGGAAAUAACAGUCUUUCUUGCCAUAUAUUUUUUUGAAACAGAAAUGCUCUAUUUGCUGUAUAAUUAAUAUGCAUUUUUUGGCUGUCAGUGUCAUAAGGAAGUGCCAUAUGCAAGUGUCAGGCCCAAGUUUAGGAGAAGACAGUGAUAAACACUGUACUUUUGCUAGCUUCAGUGGAACGAGUUCUCAAAAUUAAAUGCAUGCUAAACAGUCGGGGGGUUAAGCACUUCUGUACUGUGAGAUCUCCGCUUGAGUAUUUUGCUGAGUCGAAGCCUGGGACACAUGUGGACCCCUACUUGCAUGUAAGGCAAGGACACCCAGUAGAGUAGAAGCAUGACUAAGAAUGCAUUCCCUCGAAGACACUUGGAACGGAUACUUGUGCCUGCAGUAAAGACUGUCUGAUGCUUCCCAGUGAGAAAAUGGGGCAGAGUAAGUGGGAACAGAUGUGGGGAUGGAGAGACAAGCCAGGGAGAACAAGAACAGCAGUUUUCCAGAAAGAAAAUACAUUUUUUUUCUGUGAUUGAACUGUGCUUUCCCAACUUUCAUCUUUCAUUUGCUGUCUAACAAAUAGCUUUGAAUAUACUCAUUAAAGUUCUGUCUCAUCUCCCUCCCGUGGCUGGGCAUAGACAAUAGUCUUCUACUGUGUCACCAAAUGCUCAAGCAGAUUAGGACAAUCGUAGGCUGUGCUAUGGAUCUAAGUUUUUGGGACCUGAUGAUUACUCAUGAAGUUUUCCAGUACUCUCUCCCUCUUUUUUUUUUUCCCUUUAAUGGAAUUGCAUGUGAAAACUACAUUAUUUAGCUUGCAAGUCAAGCACUGCAAAGUAACAAAAUAUCAGAAAUAAGUUGUCUGCAUUACAUUAAUUUGUCUCUUCCAUGUUCAUGAUAUUUACAUGAUUUUUUCCCUCAGGGUCCUUAACUGCACAGGAUGGGCUGUAUUCUCAGAUU